AAUGAACGCUGGCGGCAGGCCUAAAACAUGCAAGUCGAACGGUAACAGGUCUUCGGAUGCUGACGAGUGGCGCACGGGUGAGUAACACGUGGGAAUAUGCCUUUUGGUACGGAACAACAGUUGGAAACGACUGCUAAUACCGUAUGGUCCCUUCGGGGUAAAGAUUUAUCGCCAAAAGAUUAGCCCGCGUUGGAUUAGCUAGUUGGUUGGGUAAUGGCCUACCAAGGCUACGAUCUAUAGCUGGUCUGAGAGGAUGAUCAGCCGGACUGGAACUAGGACACGGUCAAGAAUCAUACGGGAGGCAGCAGUUAGGAAUAUUGGAUAAUGGUCGAAAGCCUGAGCCAGCCAUGCAGCGUGAGUGAUGAAGCCCUUCGGGUUGUAAAGCUCUUUAGCCGACGAAUAUAAUGACUGUAGUCGGAAAAUAAGCCCCGGCUAACUUCGUGCCAGCAGCCGCCGUAA
RNAcentral lists this ribosomal RNA (459 nucleotides) under uncultured bacterium. RNAcentral's name for it is "partial 16S ribosomal RNA". It matches the Rfam family "Bacterial small subunit ribosomal RNA", at positions 29 to 523 of the family's 1533-position model. The record is from RNAcentral.